This is a non-coding RNA of Chiloscyllium plagiosum (whitespotted bambooshark), 1816 nucleotides long. The record is from RefSeq and is a predicted model, not a curated record. NCBI's taxonomy places the organism in Eukaryota, Metazoa, Chordata, Chondrichthyes, Orectolobiformes, Hemiscylliidae.
CCAAUGCCCAAAACACAUCUUCCAGGUGAAGCAGCAGUAUAGUCACAUUUCUUUCAAUACAGUCUAUGUACUGACUGCUCACAAUGUGGUCUCCUUUACACUGGUGAGAAAAAACAGACUGGAUGACUGCUUUGUGGAAUACUUUGCUUGUUCUUUGAACUUUCGAACAAUCCAUCCUGCUCCCAUACUAACAUUUCCAUCGUGGGCCUGCUAUAGUGUACCAACGAAGUGCAAACUAAACAACGCCUUCAUUUUCCAUUUAGGGACGCAGAGAGAAGGAAAGUGAGCGCAAGAGAGCGACAGAGAAAAAAAAAGAUGCUGAAAUCUGCACAGGAAGUACCAGCAAUAGUAAUAAUUAUUCUAUCAGUCUGAAGCAAGAAUUGCUUUUACAUGGGUCCCUCCGUACUGAGAUUGUCAGAAGUUUAAGGCACAUUCAUGUUAAACCAGGUCCACCAUAAUGGUGGCAGCCAGCAGAAUACCAAAGCAACCAACAACCCACAAUCAGGUUGAAAGAUUAUACAACUGACAAGGCUGAACUACCAACACUAAGGGCCUACAGGAUUCCAACAAGCCUGACCUCAUGGAAACCCAAAACCAAAGCUUCACCAGCAUGGGUACAAGACUUGACCCAACAGUGACCCGAGAUAGAGGAGGCCUGACAGAACCAACCACAAGACUCCCUAGAACGCUCAAGACCUCGCCCUGGUGCCCAGGAUCUCGUUGGAAGCACACAGUUUCCAGAGCAGCAGACUUCCCUCACUGAUGCCCGGGAUCAACUAAGAGCAGACACCUAUUCAACAAACGUAGGAGAGAUACUGGACUUCAGGCGGAGACUAAAACUUCAGGGUUUCAAGUAUCUCUCCCCAGCACACUCAUGGCAAAUGUCCAGGACAUGGAGAACAAAAUGAACAAAGAGAACAAAGAAAAUUUACAGCCCAGGAACAGCCCUUCGGCCCUCAAGCCUGUGCCAAUCAGAAUGUACUGUCUAAACCUGUCGAUCGGUUCCUAAGCAUCUGUAUCCCUCUACUCCCCACCUAACUUAAAAGGAAAUUGAGAGACUGCUGUGUGCUGAGUGACAGAGACAUGGCUCCCUCCUGUCACACCUGACUAUGCCUUACAACGUGAGGAUUUCUGAGUUCAAUGGAUAGACCACUCAGUGUCCUCAGACAAGUCAAGGGAUGUUGGGGUCUGCCUCCUAAUCAACAGCUCCUGGUGCGCAGACAUUGCAACCCUGGUGAUUAACUGUUCCCCAGACCUAGAAAAUCUUACAGUUCAGUGCCAACCCUACUAUCUGCCACAUGAAUUCACCUCCGCUAUCCUGACAGUGGUCUACAUCCCCACCCAUGUGGAAGUGAAGACAGAAUAGCCCAAAACCAUGUUCAUCUUAAUUGGUGCCUUUAACCAGUCCAACCUUGAGAAUAUGCUACCAAAAUACCAUCAACAUGUCUCCUGUCCGAACAUCCUUGACCAUUGCUAUACAACCAAAGAUACAACCACUCCAUUCCUCAUCCACAUUUUGGAAAAUCAGAUCACAUUGCCGUGCUCCUCUUCCCGGUUUACAAAGCAGAAAUUGAAGCAUGAGGAACCAGUACAGAAAAUAGUGCAGUAUUGGUCUGAGGCAAUGGAAGGGCAUUCAUAGGACUGCUCGGAGUCGAUGAACUAUUCCAUAUUCAAGAAUUCAACGGCCAACUUAAACAAGUAUACCACUGUCACAGAUGUUAUCAAUUUUAUAGAUGUAGCAUAUAAAGCAUCUUAUCUGGAUGCAUCAUAGUGUGGUAUGGAAACUACUCUUCCCAAGACUGCAAGAAACUAGAGA